UUAUAUUUUGUUUAUUAAUUAAUUUUUUUUUUAUUAUAAAUUAUUAAAAAUAAUUAUUAAAAGAUUUGUUUAAGUAUUUUAUAAAGAAAAAAUAAUUUUAAUUAUAGUUAAAUAGUAUUGUGAAAGAAAAUUGAAAUAAUUUGAAAAAUUAAUAUUUUAAAAGAAAAUUUAAUUUAUUGUACCUUGUGUAUCAGGGUUUAUCAAAUAAAAAUUAUGUAAUAUAAUUUUCUCGAUUUUAAAAGAGUUAAUAUAUUAUAAAAGUUAAUGUAACAAAAUUAUUUUAUAUAAUAUAUUAGAAAUGAAAUGUUAUUCGUUUUUAAAGGUAUCUAGUUCUUUAAGAAAUAAAUUUAAUUUAGAAAUUUUAUAUUAUUUAAUUAAAUAUAUUAAUUAAAUAAUUAUUUUAUUUUAAUAUUUUGUGGGAUAAGCUAUGAAAUAAACUAUUAAAAAUUAUUAAAUAAUUUAAUAAAUAUAAGCUUAGAAAUAGCUAUUAUUAAUGAAAUUGUUAUAAUUUAUUUUAUUAUAUUAAUUAUUUAUUAAAUUUUAAUUAUGUAUUAAAGUAUUUAUUUUAAUUAAAAAAAUAAAAAAAUAAUGAUAAAAUUAGUAUAUUAUAUUGUAUAAAUAUAAUAAAUUGAGAAGUUUUUAUAAAGAACUCGGCAAAAAUAAUGUUCGCCUGUUUAACAAAAACAUGUCUUUUUGAAUUUUUUUAAAAGUCUAGCCUGCCCACUGAAUUAUUUAAAUGGCCGCAGUAUACUAACUGUGCAAAGGUAGCAUAAUCAUUAGUCUUUUAAUUGAAGGCUGGUAUGAAUGGUUGGACGAGAUAUUAACUGUUUCAUAAAAAUUUAUAAUAGAAUUUUAUUUUUUAGUUAAAAAGCUAAAAUAAAAUUAAAAGACGAGAAGACCCUAUAAAUCUUUAUAUAUAAAUUAUUAGAAUUUUGUAGAUUUUUUUUAUUAUAAUAAUUAAUUAUAUUUUAUUGGGGUGAUAUUAAAAUUUAAUAAACUUUUAAUUUUUUAAAAAUCAUUAAUUUAUGAAUAAUUGAUCCGUUAAUAACGAUUAAAAAAAUAAGUUACUUUAGGGAUAACAGCGUAAUUUUUUUGGAGAGUUCAUAUCGAUAAAAAAGAUUGCGACCUCGAUGUUGGAUUAAGAUAUAAUUUUAGGUGUAGCCGCUUAAAUUUUAAGUCUGUUCGACUUUUAAAUUCUUACAUGAUCUGAGUUCAAACCGGCGUAAGCCAGGUUGGUUUCUAUCUUUAAAAAAUUAAAAUAUUUCAGUACGAAAGGACCUAAUAUUUAAUAAAUAAUUAUUUUUAUAUUGAAUAUAAUUAAUUUAU
RNAcentral lists this ribosomal RNA (1326 nucleotides) under Sarcophaga macroauriculata. RNAcentral describes it as "16S ribosomal RNA". The stretch from base 1075 to 1234 matches the Rfam family "Archaeal large subunit ribosomal RNA", at positions 2544 to 2703 of the family's 2987-position model. Lineage: Eukaryota; Metazoa; Arthropoda; Insecta; Diptera; Sarcophagidae. The record is from RNAcentral.